Molecule: ribosomal RNA, 500 nt
Filed under: uncultured microorganism
Description: bacterial SSU rRNA
Rfam family: Archaeal small subunit ribosomal RNA
Source: RNAcentral
AGUGGGUGUAGCGUACCUACUAGCCUACGACGGGUACGGGUUGUGAGAGCAAGAGCCCGGAGAUGGAUUCUGAGACACGAAUCCAGGCCCUACGGGGUGCAGCAGGCGCGAAAACUUUACAAUGCUGGCAACAGCGAUAAGGGAACCUCGAGUGCCAGGUUACAAAUCUGGCUGUCGAGAUGCCUAAAAAGCAUUUCAUAGCAAGGGCCGGGCAAGACCGGUGCCAGCCGCCGCGGUAACACCGGCGGCUCGAGUGGUAACCGUUAUUAUUGGGUCUAAAGGGUCUGUAGCCGGCCGGAUAAGUCUCUUGAGAAAUCUGGCAGCUUAACUGUCAGGCUUUCAGGAGAUACUGUCUGGCUCGAGGUCGGGAGAGGUGAGAGGUACUUCAGGGGUAGGGGUGAAAUCUUGUAAUCCUUGAAGGACCACCAGUGGCGAAGGCGUCUCACCAGAACGGACCUGACGGCAAGGGACGAAAGCUAGGGGCACGAACCGGAUUAGAU